Long non-coding RNA from Leopardus geoffroyi (Geoffroy's cat), 2195 nucleotides. RefSeq lists it as uncharacterized. The transcript has 3 exons. NCBI's taxonomy places the organism in Eukaryota, Metazoa, Chordata, Mammalia, Carnivora, Felidae. The record is from RefSeq and is a predicted model, not a curated record.
UCUCUGUCCCUCUCCUGCUUGCUCUCUAUCCUUCUCUCAAAUAAAAAUAAACUAAAAACUAAAAAAUAAAAUAAGAAAAAACUACCACCUGUUGAGUUUAGUUGAGUAUUAAAGAAUAUCCACAAUUAUCUGAAAAGGCAAUUAAAAUAUUUCCUCUAUUUUCCAACAUAUCUGUGUGAAGUAAGAUUUUGUCCAUUUACUUUAACCAAAAUAAUAUAUCACAACAGAGAGAAGCAAAAGCAGAUUAAAAAAAAAAUUCAGCCACCUUCUUUUAAGCCAGACCUUACAAAGAUUUGCAAAAGUAUAAAACAAGGCUACUCUAUGUUUUUUGUUUUGAGAACUAUCAGUAUUUUUCAUAAAAACAUUUAUGUUAACAUGUGUGGUAGUUUUGGAACAUGCCCACCAUUUCUCCUCCCUUCAAGAGGUGAAGCCUAAUCCCUUACCUUUGAAUGAUUUAGUGACUCAUCUCUAAUGAACACAAUAUGGCAGAAGGGAUGAUAUGUGACUUAAAAGUCUAGAUCAUAAAAGGCAUUGUGGUUUCCCCCUUGCUCUCUUGGAUCACUCACUCUGAAGAAGGCCAGCCGCCAUGUUCCGAAGACACUCAAGCAGCCCUGUGAAGAGGGUUAUAUGGCAAGAAUCGGAGGCCUCCUGACAAGAGCCAUGUGAGUGCGCCAUCUUGGACACAGCUAUUCCAGCUCCAUUAGGCCUUGGGGUGUCUGCAACCUUAUGAGAGACCCUAAGCUAGAACCACCCAAGCUCAGUUGGCCCCAGAUUCUUGAUCCACACAAAUUGUGUGAGACAGAUGAAUGAUCUUUAUAAUUAAGAGAAGAGAAACUUCCCUUUUGAAAAUCAUCAAAAGUGAAAGUCAGACCUGUAUUUCCUUUGGAUGAGUCAACCGUUUAAGCACAACAUGCGGAGGCCAGAUGUCUGUUGGUGCACCUGCGUGCCGGGGAGAGGUCCGAAGGGCAGAUGGUGGAUGAGGGGCCAGUAGCCACAACACCUGCCCCCCCAACAACCUCAGCCAGACUGGCUCUUUCGCGCAUGUUACACAUUGAGUUUCUGCAUAAUUUCACAUAAAAGUUUCCACUGCUUGAAAAAAAAAAAAAAGUUUGAAAACCUUUACCGUGAGAAUGAAUAACAGUUGAAGAGUUAAAAUUAGGCUAUAGAAGAACCACUCAAACUUUUUUUGGGAAUGUGAACAGAGUUUCCAUAAAGAAAAUCCUGCACAUUCUGAGAGAACAGAAGCCCUGACAACUUAACAAAUGUUCGGUGGUUUCAACAGAGGCUCGCUCAUGUGGCCAUGGAAAAGGUGACAGCUAGGGAUGAAGAGCUUAUCCGGGGACCCCUCCGAUCCAAAGGGCCCAAGAGGCCAGCAGAAGCAGCAGGGCCUCAAGGCCCCGGGAGAGACAGAUCAGAACCACAGGUGAGUGGCUCUCUCGUUUUCUCAGGAAAAUCCAAAACAGGAGAUGCUAAAAGCACGGACUUCGGAGACACCAGAUCUGGGUUCAAGUUCCAGGUCUGACACUAAAAACUUAAGAGAUCUUUGGCAAGUGACAUAACCAAACUGAAGUUGGAGAACGCAAAAUGGUACAGCCAUUUUGGAAAACAGGUUAGCGGUUUCCUAAACAGAAAUUUGCCAUGUGACCCAGCAAUUCCAUUCCCAGGUAACCAUCCAAGAGAAAUAAAAACAUACAUCCGCACAAAGACUUGCACACAACUGUUCUUAGCAGCAUUAUUCAUCAUAACUCAAGGUGGAAGCGAUCCAAAUGUUCCUCAACCGGUGAACGGAGAAACAAAAUGCGGCAUAUCCACACGAUGGAAUACUAAAGGGCGAUAAAAGGAAGAAAGUCCUGAUACAUGCCACAACCUGAACACACCCUGAAAACAUUACUCCAAAUGAAACAAGCCAAUCGCAAAAGAUCACAUAGUAGCUGAGUCCAUGUACGUGGAACAUUCCAGAAAAGGCAAAGAUACAGAGGCAGAAAACAGACUAGUGGUUGCCUGGGGCUGGGGACAGGAGUGACUACAAGUGGGCACAAAGUGUCUUUUUGGGGUGACGGAAUGUUCAAAACUCGGGUUGUGGUGAUGGGGGCACAACUCUGUAAAUGACCUGAAAAUCAUUGAAUCGCACCCUUAAAAUGGGCACAUUCUGCGAUAUGUAAAUUAAAACUCAAUAGAGUUGUUUUUAAACAAUG